RNAcentral lists this ribosomal RNA (270 nucleotides) under uncultured archaeon. RNAcentral describes it as "partial 16S ribosomal RNA". It matches the Rfam family "Archaeal small subunit ribosomal RNA", at positions 477 to 747 of the family's 1478-position model. The record is from RNAcentral.
CAGCCCCUCGAGUGGUGGGGAUGAUUAUUUGGCCUAAAGCGUCCGUAGCCGGCCGGGCAAGUCUUCCGUUAAAUCCAGCGUCUCAAGCGUUGGACCGCGGGAGAUACUGUCUGGCUAGAGAGUGGGAGAGGUGUACGGUAUUCUGGGGGUAGGGGCGAAAUCCUUUGAUCCCCGGAGGACCACCAGUGGCGAAGGCUGUGCACUAGAACACGUCUGACGGUCAGGGACGAAAGCUGGGGUAGCGAACCGGAUUAGAUACCCGAGUAGUCC